RNAcentral lists this ribosomal RNA (253 nucleotides) under uncultured prokaryote. RNAcentral's name for it is "partial 16S ribosomal RNA". It matches the Rfam family "Bacterial small subunit ribosomal RNA", at positions 525 to 777 of the family's 1533-position model. The record is from RNAcentral.
ACGUAGGGGGCAAGCGUCGUCCGGAUUUAUUGGGCGUAAAGAGCGUGUAGGCGGCCAGAUAGGUCCGUUGUGAAAACUCGAGGCUCAACCUCGAGACGCCGAUGGAAACCAUCUGGCUAGAGUCCGGAAGAGGAGAGUGGAAUUCCCGGUGUAGCGGUGAAAUGCGCAGAUAUCAGGAGGAACACCUAUGGCGAAGGCAGCUUGCUGGGACGACACUGACGCUGAGACGCGAAAGCGUGGGGAGCAAACAGGA